Molecule: ribosomal RNA, 450 nt
Filed under: uncultured bacterium
Lineage: Bacteria
Description: partial 16S ribosomal RNA
Rfam family: Bacterial small subunit ribosomal RNA
Source: RNAcentral
GUGGGGAAUAUUGCGCAAUGGGCGAAAGCCUGACGCAGCGACGCCGCGUGAGGGAUGAAGGUUUUCGGAUCGUAAACCUCUGUCAGAAGGGAAGAAACUACGUUGUGCUAAUCAGCAGCGUACUGACGGUACCUUCAAAGGAAGCACCGGCUAACUCCGUGCCAGCAGCCGCGGUAAUACGGAGGGUGCAAGCGUUAAUCGGAAUUACUGGGCGUAAAGCGCACGUAGGCUGUAGUGUAAGUCAGGGGUGAAAUCCCACGGCUCAACCGUGGAACUGCCUUUGAUACUGCACAACUUGAAUCCGGGAGAGGGUGGCGGAAUUCCGGGUGUAGGAGUGAAAUCCGUAGAUAUCCGGAGGAACACCGGUGGCGAAGGCGGCCACCUGGACAGGUACUGACGCUGAGGCGCGAAAGCGUGGGGAGCAAACAGGAUUAGAUACCCCGGUAGUCC